RNAcentral lists this ribosomal RNA (569 nucleotides) under Curvularia homomorpha. Its description in RNAcentral is "eukaryotic LSU rRNA". The stretch from base 209 to 362 matches the Rfam family "5.8S ribosomal RNA". The record is from RNAcentral. Lineage: Eukaryota; Fungi; Ascomycota; Dothideomycetes; Pleosporales; Pleosporaceae.
AAGUCGUAACAAGGUCUCCGUAGGUGAACCUGCGGAGGGAUCAUUACACAAAAUAUGAAGGCCAGGCUGCCUCGGCUCCCUGGCUGAAUUAUUUCACCCAUGUCUUUUGCGCACUUGUUGUUUCCUGGGCGGGUUCGCCUGCCACCAGGACCAAACCAUAAACCUUUUUUUAUUGCAAUCAGCGUCAGUAUAACAAUGUAAUUAUUACAACUUUCAACAACGGAUCUCUUGGUUCUGGCAUCGAUGAAGAACGCAGCGAAAUGCGAUACGUAGUGUGAAUUGCAGAAUUCAGUGAAUCAUCGAAUCUUUGAACGCACAUUGCGCCCUUUGGUAUUCCAAAGGGCAUGCCUGUUCGAGCGUCAUUUGUACCCUCAAGCUUUGCUUGGUGUUGGGCGCUUGUCUCUCCUCUUUUUGGGGGAGACUCGCCUUAAAACGAUUGGCAGCCGGCCUACUGGUUUCGGAGCGCAGCACAUUUUUGCGCUUUCCACCAGCAAAAGAGGACGGCAAUCCAUCAAGUCUACAUUAUCACUUUUGACCUCGGAUCAGGUAGGGAUACCCGCUGAACUUAA